This 253-nucleotide ribosomal RNA is filed under the name uncultured bacterium. Its description in RNAcentral is "partial 16S ribosomal RNA". It matches the Rfam family "Bacterial small subunit ribosomal RNA", at positions 524 to 776 of the family's 1533-position model. The record is from RNAcentral.
UACGGGGGGGGCAAGCGUUGUUCGGAAUUACUGGGCGUAAAGGGCUCGUAGGCGGCCAACUAAGUCGGAUGUGAAAUCCCCAGGCUCAACCUGGGAACUGCAUCCGAUACUGGAUGGCUUGAAUUCGGGAGAGGGAUGCAGAAUUCCAGGUGUAGCGGUGAAAUGCGUUGAGAUCCACAGGAACUCCGGUGGCGAAGGCGGCCCGCUGGACCCCAUCUGACGCUGAGGCGCGAAAGCCAGGGGAGCGAACGGG